Molecule: microRNA precursor, 94 nt
Filed under: Canis lupus familiaris (dog)
Lineage: Eukaryota; Metazoa; Chordata; Mammalia; Carnivora; Canidae
Description: mir-8834 microRNA precursor family
Rfam family: mir-8834 microRNA precursor family
Source: Rfam by way of RNAcentral
AGGAGAAAUAGCCCCAGUGGCGGGGCAGCUCUGGAAACCUGGAUUCAGCUCCGGCAGGAACUCCGUCUGCAGGGCCUGGAGGCUCCGGGCGGGG